AGUAUGGGUGUAAACGAGCCGACCACGAGCGAGCUGGGACCGGCUCGUGUUCAGCGCUCUCAGCUCGCUCGUGUUCGGCUCGUUUACGAAACGAGCCGAACACGAGCUGGCUCAUUAUGAGCUCGCUAACGAACAAUNAAUAUAUAUAAAAAAUAAAUUUAUAAAAUUUUAUUCAUUAAAUUUUGAUCUAAUAGUAAAAAUUUUACAUAUAAAUGAAUCUUUUUAUAAUUAAGCUCGCCUUUUAUUUUUAUUUUACUAAAAAUUAAAUAAUAAAAAUAUAUAUUAUAUAUAUAAUUAUUUAUUUAUAUAUAUAAAUACAAAUUAUAUAAAUUAUAUAAAUAUAAAAUAUUUGUAUUCGAGUUGUUAUCGAACCGCUCGUGUUCGGCACAUUUAUUAAACGAGCCGAAAAAUUCAGUUUCGGCUUGUUUACUAAACGAGCGAUUCGAUCUCGAGCUCAUUUCAAACCGAACACAAGCUGUGAGCUGAAUUGCACCCCUA
RNAcentral lists this long non-coding RNA (498 nucleotides) under Ananas comosus (pineapple). Its description in RNAcentral is "long non-coding RNA (ACOM_LNC029982)". Lineage: Eukaryota; Viridiplantae; Streptophyta; Magnoliopsida; Poales; Bromeliaceae. The record is from RNAcentral.